GGCGUGCUCCGCAUCCCUUGCCCCGUGCCCCUCUUCCGCGCCGUACUCCGAUCUCUCAUCUCUCAUGACGGUCACAUCAAUUAGGGUUUCUUUUAUCGUCUUCUAGUUGUAUCUCUUCUUUCCUUUUUCUAGCUCCGGUUUCAACCGUGGGCUGUUGUAGUAGGAUUCAGAGAUGUUGAAGAAGGAUAAUUCAGUAAGAAAAUUC
This 205-nucleotide unclassified non-coding RNA is filed under the name Hevea brasiliensis (rubber tree). Lineage: Eukaryota; Viridiplantae; Streptophyta; Magnoliopsida; Malpighiales; Euphorbiaceae. The record is from RNAcentral.